GUGUUCGAUGUAGGGAUAAUAGAGUGACAUGGCACUUGGGAACUAGGACAGAGACAGAAGAAAACCGAGUAGUGAUCUCCCGGACGUCUCCCUCCGUCUGCUCUCCGUUGCCCAAAUGAACGUUUCAAAUAAAAAUUAAGAAACGAAUAAACAGAAGGAAGGCGAAGCAGCAGAGUAAGUCCUACGGUUUUCUCGACGUGUCGAGUUGUGGGGGCAGUCCACAACCCGAUGCUGCUGUUCAUGCUUGGUCAAAGUAAGGGUAUUCAUUUGCAAUUGUUGAAUUGUUUAUUUGAUAUGGAAUAACAGAAAGAUUAUAUCUUGGCGAUAUUUCCUGGUUGGUGAUAUCGUCAUCUAUUUGGAAUGAAAUUUUUGUACCCAGAUCUGUAUUCUCAGGUCCCCUCCCCUCUUCACCACCGGGGAAUUUUUUUAUGACUGGAAGGAAUCAAAGAGUAAAAAGGAAGAGAAAAUAAAGCCUCUUGGCUUUGAACUUCAUAUGCAUUGCUAGUUUUUCCAUGGAAUCCAUUAUCCCUGCAAAUUCCAGGCUUCUAUCAAUGAGUUCUGUCCAGUGUAAACGCUGUCUGAAAAUCAGUAUCGUCGUUCUUUUUGUUGUGGUGAUCCUGGUAACUGCUUAUACUGCACUCAGAGCAGGAGACGUUCAACGAUCAUACUUCACUGUGGUUCUGGAUUGUGGAAGCACUGGUACCCGAGUAAAUGUGUACGAAUGGCAAAGAAAUAUCACAAGUAAACAUGACUUGCCUACCUUGUUGAACUCAUUUCCUGAUUUAUCAACCAAGAAUCCUCUCCAUAAGGAUGCUUGUCAUUACCAGUGCAUGCAAACUGAGCCUGGUCUGGAUAAAUUUGUUCACAACUCUUCUGGCAUAAGGGCAGCGUUGGAGCCAUUGCUUAUUUGGGCACAGCAGCAAAUACCUUCUGAAAGACUUGGUGAUACUUCUCUCUUCCUUUUAGCGACUGCUGGGUUGCGAAAUUUGCCGAAAGAGGAUGCUGGCUGGAUUUUGGAGAAUGCAGCAGCUGUUGUAAGGGAGCACCCAUUUGUUUAUAGAAUAAGUUCAAUUAGGGUGUUGAGUGGAAAGGAAGAAGCUUACUAUAGUUGGGUUGCUUUAAACUAUAAAUUAAGGUUCCUGGAUAAGUCUUCGAACACUCCCACAUUAGGAGUCCUUGACUUGGGUGGUUCAUCCUUGCAAGUGGUUAUGGAAAUAGACGAAUCAAGAGAAGAUAAACAUUUCAUGAGAUCGAAAAUUGGGCCAAUUGAGCACCAGAUUUUGGCAUACUCAUUACCGGCAUUUGGUCUGAAUGAGGCCUUUGAUAGAACCAUUAUAAUUCUGAAUGAACAGCAGCUGCUGCCUAGAGAUACUGCUGAUGUAAAAUUUGAACUCAGCCAUCCUUGUCUCAGUUCAGGAUUUAUGCAGAAUUAUACUUGCUAUGGUUGCUUCCGGUCGAAUGGUAGCAGUGCAAAAAAUUUGAGUGGUCCACCAUUGAGUAAUAGUGAUGGCUUCCCUUUGGUUAAUCUGGUAGGGGAUCCAGAUUGGGAACAAUGCAAGGAACUUGCAAGGGCUGCUGCGAUUCAUUCAAGAAGCUCUGAUUCGUUGCAGUUAACAGCAGAUAUGAAUUGCAAAUCAUUGCCUUCCUUUAAUGGCACUGAUUCCAUUAAUUCGACAGCUAGCCAUCUCUCUGUUGCUCGCUUCCACGCUUUAUCUGGAUUUUUUGCAGUCUACAAUGUGCUAAAUUUGAAUCCCAGAGCUAAUUUGUCUAAGAUCUUGGAGAAAGGCAAGGAAUUAUGUUCAAGUUCAUGGGCUGACUUGAAGAAAAGUUACAAAAACAUAAAUCAUGCUGUACAAUACUGUUUCAGGGUACCAUAUUUGGUAUCACUCAUUGAGGAAGCUUUGUGUCUGGGUGAUGCAGAGAUAUUGUUUGGUCCAGGAGAUGUUUCUUGGACAUUAGGAGCUGCACUAAUUGAAGGGGAAUACUUGUUGCCUAGUCAAACAGAACCUCAUGCUGGAAUGUUCAGUCUGAAGGCGGAGCUUUGCUUGGGAAUGAAGCCAAGGUGGUCCCUCAAGCUGCCAUCAACGAAGUUAAUAAUCCACGUACCUUUACGUAUCUGAGCCGGCGUUCUAAAAUUCAACCAAGUGCAGUGGGUUGCUUUUCAAUGUUUACCUAGAAAACCGCUGCCCUUGGUGGGCAUGUGGUCCAAAUACUUUCAUCCAAAUGCGGAGGAACUGACAACCGGUUAAAGGUUUAAAAUACUGGAAUCAGGAUCCGGAUCGGUUUCAGAAUCAACAUAUUUCAGGCAUCUAAGGUUUUUCGUAUAGCACAAACCUGAGCCGAAUUGGGAUUGGUUGCUUCCAAUCCGAAUCUUAAAAUCAUAAUGUUAUCAACCCCUUAAGCUAUGUUUGGUUGCAAGGGAAAUUAAAGGAAAGAGAAGUGAACAUUUUCGAACUUACAAAGGAAGCUUUUGUGUUCAUUCUUUAACAUGAGUGUAUGAUUUACCUAGUUUUCUUACCAUAUUUAGUAAUGAUGCUUUUAGAUGUUAUUUUUCUUUUCAAACACUGGAUAUGGAUGUAAAUUAAAGUGUAAUGUAGGGAAAAUUCUGGGCUUGCCAUUAUGGUGACCUGACCUGUUUGGCUCUC
RNA transcript from Macadamia integrifolia, 2645 nucleotides. It is a transcript of the gene named probable apyrase 7, with no coding region annotated. The record is from RefSeq and is a predicted model, not a curated record. NCBI's taxonomy places the organism in Eukaryota, Viridiplantae, Streptophyta, Magnoliopsida, Proteales, Proteaceae. The transcript has 5 exons.